AGUGAACGCUGGCGGUAGGCCUAACACAUGCAAGUCGAACGGCAGCACAGUAAGAGCUUGCUCUUACGGGUGGCGAGUGGCGGACGGGUGAGGAAUACAUCGGAAUCUACUUUUUCGUGGGGGAUAACGUAGGGAAACUUACGCUAAUACCGCAUACGACCUACGGUUGAAAGCAGGGGAUCUUCGGACCUUGCGCGAUUGAAUGAGCCGCUGUCGGAUUAGCUAGUUGGCGGGGUAAAGGCCCACCAAGGCGACGAUCCGUAGCUGGUCUGAGAGGAUGAUCAGCCACACUGGAACUGAGACACGGUCAAGACUCCUACGGGAGGCAGCAGUGGGGAAUAUUGGACAAUGGGCGCAAGCAUGAUCCAGCCAUACCGCGUGGGUGAAGAAGGCCUUCGGGUUGUAAAGCCCUUUUGUUGGGAAAGAAAAGCAGCAGGUUAAUACCACGCUGUUCUGACGGUACCCAAAGAAUAAGCACCGGCUAACUUCGUG
Molecule: ribosomal RNA, 492 nt
Filed under: uncultured bacterium
Lineage: Bacteria
Description: partial 16S ribosomal RNA
Rfam family: Bacterial small subunit ribosomal RNA
Source: RNAcentral